This 43157-nucleotide long non-coding RNA is filed under the name Fragaria vesca (wild strawberry). Lineage: Eukaryota; Viridiplantae; Streptophyta; Magnoliopsida; Rosales; Rosaceae. The record is from RNAcentral.
CUUCAACAAAACUUUCUAUAGCAGCCCAGGCAGUGAACAUAAGAUCACGGAUGAACAUGGAGACGGUGUUGGAUAAUGCCACUGGAAACUUGAUGUGGUGGGCACCGGCCAUACUACAGCCAAGUCAUACAACACCAGAGAUUAGUGAUCUUAAGCUGUGUGACUUGGUUAACUUGCUCAAUGGAUCUGUCAAACAAUGUAACGGUGAUUACUUUGAGACUUUCAAGGGUAAAGAGGGAUAUGGAAGAAUGUGUGAGUAUCUAGAUUUUCAGAGGACUAUGAGUUCUAUGGAACCAGCACCAGAGAUUUAUUUAUUCUCGAGCUGGACUAAUUUUUUCAAUGCACUUGAUUUUGGAUGGGGGAGGACAUCAUGGAUUGGAGUUACGGGAAAAAUUGAAUCUGCAUUUUGCAAUUCCACAAUGUUGGUUCCAACACAAUGCGAUAAUGGAAUUGAAGCAUGGGUGAAUCUAGAAGAAGAGAAAAUGGCUAUGCUAGAACAAGAUCCCCAGUUUCUAGCGGUAGCAUCUCCAAACCCCCCAAUUUCAAGGUGUUGAUUAAAAAAGAUUAUGUGGCUCGUGCAAUGUUUCGAUUUUGUAGUGAAUAAGGUUUAAAUUAGUUCACCAGCCAAUCAAUAAGAUGCAAGUAUGAUAGACUCUGUCUACGUAUGUUAUCCGAAUGUGUUUUCGAUAUGCUUGUAACCAAUAUAGCUCUUGUUUGUAAUAAUGCUCUGUUAAGCUUCUAUCUAUAAAGUUAUUUCUCUUGAUUAAAGAAAAAACUAUACAAGUUUUGUUAAGCUUUAUUCUAUUUUUAAGAUAGGAUGUAUGUAGUACCUAUAAAGAUGGUUCACCUAUUAUUAUUUUCAAAUACAUGAUUAUCCGGUACAAUUACGUAGAAUAUUUCUAUAGCUAAAAAAAUGUAAUUUUGAUCCGUGACAACAUGAUUAAAAAAUUACAUAUUCUGAUACAUUUGUUCUCUAACGACAAGCAUGGCCAUAAUGCCUCACCUGAUCAUCUAUGUGAUGGGGUAGUGUCCUUUCUUUUUAAGAGAAGGUAGGCACCUAAUGUGAAGGCCUCUACGAGAGACUAAUAUUGUCUGAUCUUCUUUUGUUCAUCAAAUUAAAGAAACGAAAAUGGCCACAAUGCCUCACUAUUGAUAGAAGAUAGAACCAUACAAUAAUUUGGAACAUAUGCAUGGAGACAAGGAAAUAUAACACAAUAAAACCAUUAUAAUUUCACUUUAUGUGGGAAACUUGGCCAAAACCGAAUCACAUCCACGUUGGCAACAAAAAGUGACUGGAAAAAAAGAGCCCCCAAAAAGCUAAAACACUAUAAAAACCAGAAAACUUGAAUAAGCGAAAAACCAAAAGUAUGACAUUUACACACACACUCUAUCUCUCUCUCAAAGUCUGAAAACUUGCGCAAUAAGGUACCUAGCUCUCUGGUCUUUUCUUUCUAAUGCAUAUAAGUCCCUGUAAAUUUUAUGGCUUUUGGAAUGAUGAUUUUAUGCUUGUGGAUCUCAGAUGGGUUUGUUUUGUUUUGGGAUUUUUAUAAAUGAAUCCAUUGAAAAUGUUGAAAGCUUAUGCCUUUGUUCCUUGGUUCACUGUUCUGGUUUUGUAAAUUGUGUGUACGAGAGUUGAAAUGUUGGUUUUGGUAAAGAGAAAUGUUCUAUAACCAUGUAAGUUAUCUUCUAAAGUUGUUCGAGUACUGCAUAGGAAAUAACGACCUAAACUGCUAGAUGCUCUGAGAAACUUAAUUAUCCGAUUCGUUGUGAUAAAUUAAUAGAACCAUCAAUAGCCGUGAUAGUCCCUUAAUAUUUGGUGGCUAAUUAGCAAUGCAUUCAUGGUAGUUGCAUGUGCUUAUUUUGUGCAGUAUUCUAAUUCUAUCACUUGCAAAAUCGUUGUGGAAGGUCAAGAGGAGAAAACUGAAAAUGGGGCAGCAUGCAUCUCAUUUUAUUUUUUUAUGCAAUAGAGCCCUAUAUAUAAAAUAAAUAAUGUAUCUAUAACCUUCUCUAAUUAAUUUACUUAGUAAUUGACGCAAUUUGGCCGAACUGUUUCUAAACACACUAAGCUUCAGUUCUAUAUAUACCACGUACCACAUGUAUGAAUUCAUCAAGUGUCUGAUAAUACUAAACCUACUUCGACAAAAUGGAGAAAAUUGAGGUCAGUAUAAUUUCCAAACACACCAUCAAACCAUCAGCUUCCACUCCACGACUUCAGCCUUACAAGCUUACCCUCCUGGACCAGCUCACUCCUGCAAUGUAUGUCCCCAUGGUAUUCUUCUACCCCAUUACUGAUCCUGUCUUCAAUCUUCCUCAAACCCUAGCUGACUUAAGACAAGCCCUUUCCGAGACUCUCACUUUGUACUAUCCACUCUCUGGAAGGGUAAAAAACAACCUAUACAUCGAUGAUUUUGAAGAGGGUGUCCCAUACCUUGAGGCUCGAGUGAAUUGUGACAUAACUGAUUUCCUAAUGCUUCGGAAAAUCGAGUGCCUAAAUGAGUUUGUUCCAAUAAAAACAUUUAGUAUGGAAGCAAUAUCUGAUGAGCGUUACCCUUUGCUUGGAGUUCAAGUCAACAUUUUCGACUCUGGAAUAGCAAUCGGUGUCUCCGGCUCUCACAAGCUCAUUGAUGGAAGAACGGCAGACUGUUUUCUCAAGUCCUGGGGUGCUGUUUUUCGAGGGUGUCGUGAAGAUAUCAUACAUCCUUGUCUCUCUGAAGCAGCAUUGCUUUUCCCACCGAGAGAUGACCUGCCUGAAAAGUAUAUAGCUUUGAUGGAAGGGUUACGGUUUGCCGGAAAAAAAGUUUCUACGAGGAGAUUCGUAUUUGAUGCGAAAACCAUAUCUGCAAUUCAAGAUGAAGCGAAGAGCGAGUCCGUGCCCAAGCCAUCACGAGUUCAGGCCGUCACUGGUUUUCUCUGGAAACAUCUAAUCGUUGCUUCUCGGGCACUAACAUCAGGUAAAAUUAGUUUAUCAACAAGCCAAAUAAUAAAGCCUAAUGUAUUUGGGGUACUUAUUUAUAUAUUUUUAUUACGUAUAGCUAGUGUACUGUGUACAUAGCUCAAAGAAUGAGAAAAUAUAUGAACUUGCAGGUACUACUUCAACAAAACUUUCUAUAGCAGCCCAGGCAGUGAACAUAAGAUCACGGAUGAACAUGGAGACGGUGUUGGAUAAUGCCACUGGAAACUUGAUGUGGUGGGCACCGGCCAUACUAGAGCUAAGUCAUACAACACCAGAGAUUAGUGAUCUUAAGCUGUGUGACUUGGUUAACUUGCUCAAUGGAUCUGUCAAACAAUGUAACGAUGAUUACUUUGAGACUUUCAAGGGUAAAGAGGGAUAUGAAAGCAUGUGUGAGUAUCUAGAUUUUCAGAGGAUUAUGAGUUCUAUAGAACCAACACCAGAGAUUUAUACAUUCUCGAGCUGGACCAGUUUUUUCAACCAACUUGAUUUUGGAUGGGGGAGGUCAUCUUGGAUUGGAGUUACAGGAAAAAUUGAAUCUGCAUAUUGCAAUUCCACAGUGUUGGUUCCAACACAAUGCGAUACUGGAAUUGAAGCGUGGGUAAGUCUAGAAGAAGAGAAAAUGGCUACGCUAAAACAAGAUCCCCAGUUUCUAGCGGCAGCAUCUCCAAACCCCCCAGUUUCAAGGUGUUGAUUAAAAAAGAUUAUGUGGCUCGUGCAAUGUUUCUAUUUUGCAGUGAAUAAGGUUUAAAUUAGUUCACCCGUCGAUCAAUAAGAUGCAAGUAUGAUAGAUAUGUUAUUCGAAUGUGUUUCGAUAUGGUUGUAACCAAUUAAUAUAGCUCUUGUUUGUAACAAUGCUCUAUUAAGCUUCUAUCUAUAAAGUUAUUUCUCUAUUAAAAAAAAAACUAUGGAAGUGUUACCAAGCUUUGUUCUGUUUCAAAGGUAAGAUGCAUAUACUACCCGAAAAUAAUGUUCACCUAUCAUAAUUCUUCCACAUGAAAACCCGGUAAGAAUCACAUAAAAUAUUUCUAAUACUUUAGAAUCUAAUUUGGGUUUGUGACAACAUAAUUGAAGAGGUACAUAUUCUGAUACAUUCGUUAUUUAACGACAAGCAUGUACAUAAUACCUAACCUAGGAGGAGGGUGUACGUAGUGUUCUCUCUCCUUAAGAAGGCCUGCCUUUCGCGAAGGCCUCUUUCAAAGGACUGAUAUAAUAUAAUCUUCUUCUUUUUUUAAUCAAAAGAAACGAAAAUGGCUUCAUUGUUCAUAAUUUGGAAUAUAUGGUGGAUUGUACGGUGUUGUUUUGAGGGAGCUUCUCUCUCGGGUCAAGGGUUUCCAAUGGAUUUGUGCAAUGAGAUUUGAUUGGCAACAGUUAUUCGGGCAUCAACGCUCCAAUUUAGCACUCCUCAGUCCUCACUACCUCAUUGUUGUUGACGAUGGCGAUGACGACAUUAGCGAGCAUGGGUGAUGUGUGUGGCAUAUUUGUUUGUAUUGUUGCAUUAUUGCUUUCGGAUGUAAGGGCUUCGCCCUAUAGAUUAGCGAGCAAUUGGUCUCCUCUCAUUCUUUCUACCUUGAUCGAGUUGGAGAUCCAUGCACUUUAUUUGUAGUACUUUUUUUGGCCUCGCGUUUGCAAGCUUUGAAAUUCCCGUGAUUAAGGAAUUAUUCAUUUUUUACAAAAAAAAAGAAGAAGAUUUUUUCCUGAAAAAUAACACAACAACCAUCAUAAUUUCACUUUAUGUGGGAAAUUUAGCCAAAUCCGAAUCACAUCCACGUCGGCAACAGAGAGUGACUUGAAAGAAGUGCACCCAGAAAGCUAAAAAACCAUAAAAACUAGAAAACUUGAAUAAGGAAAAACUAAAGUAUGACAUUCCAAUCUAUUGUUUUAUGGUUUUUGAAGGAUUCAAAUUUGUCAACCACUUUUUACUUGACCACCUUAAUGACCACUAUCUAGAUUGGUGAUACGUGUCUUUUCAAAUUAUUUUACUUUAUUGUUUUAUUGUUGAUAAAAAAAAUAAACAUGUGUCACCAAUCUAAAUAGUGGUCAUUGAGAUGAUCAAGUAAAAGUGGUUGACAAAUUUGAAUCCAUUUCUUAUUGCGGUUUUGUUCUGCCAAAUCCAAAUCCCAUGACCCAAUCAUUUACACUCCCUCUCAAUCUCUGCAAAACUGACUGCUUCCCUUGAAAACGUGCGCAAUAAGGUACCUAGCUCUCUGCCCUUUUCCUUGUAAUGCAUUCAAGUCCCUGUAAAUUUUGUGGUUUUUGGUAAUGAUUUUAUGCUUGUGGAUCUCAAAUGGGUUUGGGUUUGUUUUGUUUUGGGAUUUUUAUAAAUGAAUGCAUUGGAAAUGUUAAAGCUUAUGCGUUUGUUCCAUGAUUCAGUGUUCUGCAAUUUGUGCCUUCUCUUCCGGAUCUGAUGUACGUGAUGUUCUAGCUAGUUGUCUUUUGGAUUGAAAAGAUAUUAUCUUUUGAUUGUUUUUGAUAGAACAUCAACAUCAAUCAUCAAUGAGAUGAAUCUGAAGUAGGUUAUUAGUUUGGAGAUAUGUUAAUGGUUAAUGAAUCAAGCUGAAGUUGUUCUGGUUAUUGGAGCAAUAGGUUCCAUACUGAAGCAUCUAAUUUUGAAUUUGCAAAGAGUGGUUGACGAGUUAUCCUUGGGAUUGGCGGGUGACAUUGAAAAAGUCUUGGUUUUGUGUAUAAGAGUUGAAAUGUGAUUUCUUUACUGUUACCAUGAUGUGGGUUCUACUAAAAGACUCGUUCUUGAAUCUGGGGUCAUGUCCUGUGAUGACUCAAUUCUUGCAAAACACAACUGAGAUGUGUCAAAAUGGGUUCGGGAGCGUCUUUAUAUAUCGAAGUAUCAUGAGUUUCGAUACUAAGUGAGGGUGCUGGAUAGAAUUGAGUUUGGAGGUUCAAUGCUUCAAAAACAAAGAAGCUAGAGGGAACGUAAUUCUUGAUGAUUCAAGACGGAUCAAUGACCUUGUAAUUAAGUUGCUUAUGUGCAAUUGUUGAGCUUAUGGUGUUUCCAGUUUGGAUACGGAUAGCUAUUUCUGUUUUCAGUAUAACCACCAUGUGUUGCAUCCUCUUACUCUUCAUCUUCAUUUACCUAUCUUUGAUCUGAUGUUCCAUUGGCAGAGCUCCCUUAUGCUAAACUGUAAAACCUGCAUUCCAGGUGGUCAUUCUGUUAGAACUUUGGAAGGUCUCGGAAAGGAAACACUCGUCGACAAAUUUUGGGAGCAGUUGCAUAAAAGGAAUGGUCUCCCAACUCGGAGAUAAUGGAGACGCGUACUGGAAAUUCCCGUCCCAAUAAAAAGCAAUCGUCGGAGAAGUCUAAAUCUGCCACUGAAGAGAAAAGGCCUGCAGAAAAGAAGCAAACACUUCUGUGUUUGUCAACUAUGGUAAGUUCAUUAGAUAGUAAGUACUGAGUUUUCUAACAUCGGUGUAACACCAUGCAACUAACUCAGUACUGUAGAAUAGACAUCUAUGUUAGUCUCUUUAGAUAAUAUGCACACUUUAACUUUUCAAAUGACGUCCUGCAUUAGUUAGUCAACUGUUCAAAAUCUCGUAGGUUACAAUUUUCCCAUCUCCAAAACCAAGUGUCCAUAAUCUUUUUCCCUCUUUGUUCACUAAACUAGUAAACUCCUCGUUUAGAUUAAUGUUCUAAAUCUUUUAGUUUUUGUUCCAUCUUGACAUAACUUGUGGCUCAUUACCUACGUUGCAUGGAAUCGGAAGCGGAAACGUGGAAGCGAAGCGUUUGGAAGCGCGGAAGCGAUUUUUUUGAAAAUAAUUUGGAAGCGAAAGCGUUUUAGAAAUGUGAGAAUCAAAAUAAUAUAUACAAAUAACAAAUAUAUAUCACCUAAUUUUAAUUUCAUUCAUUUAUUUUAAUCGUUAAUUUUAAUAAGUUGUACAAAUUAGUUUGAUUGUUUAGCAGAUAACAACUCAUUCUUAAAAAAAAAAGAUAUCACUAAACCUUAUAAAAAUAAACUUCUUCACUAAAAAAAAGUCCACCAUGAAAUAUUGAAAGCACACGUCUCUCUAAUCUCUACACCUUUUAAUCUUCUUUCUUCACCUCUCUAUGCUCUCUCACCCUCCAGGUUGCCGUCAUCUUCUUUAACUUCAUUCUCUCUCACUCCUCUCCCUCCCUCCAGUUUCAAAUCCUUUCUUAACAGGUCCUCAAGCAGAAGAUCUGAUUGAUUAUAGAUUUCGAAAGAGAUAGAGAGAAGAUUGAUGUGCCGCUGAAUCAGUUCUCGUGCAGUGGACCAUCGCGCUUCCAAAUCAAAAUCGUGAGCUUCCAUAUUGGAAGCAUGCGCUUCCGUCGUGCUUCCAAAACCCUCUUUUCCCGGAAUCACGAUUCCGGGCGCUUCCGAGCGCUUCCACGGCGUUUCCGCUUCGCUUCCGCUUCGGAAGCGGGCGAGUGGCCCGGCGCUUCCGUGCUUCCUAGCUCAUUACUGCCCUGUAAACCAACUACGGCCGAGUUGUACCAAAAGGAAAUUCGGCCUCUCAUCAAUGAGUAAAGGUUUUUUUUUUUUUUUUCUUCCUUUUGUGGGGGAAGAAGAAGUAUGCAAUAAUUUUGGAAGUAACAUAUCCCCUAUCACCAUUCCUUGCAACAAGCAAUUACUUCUGGCAUUUUGUGGUUGAUGUUGAUCAUUUUGUAACUUUUGUUCUUUCAUGAUAAUAAAGCUAAUUUCUCAUGUAGCUGCAAUUGCUUGGCAUGAGAGUAGAAGAAAGUGGAUAGGGGAUCAGCGGCUGCAAAGAAUGGCCAAGGAUCCAAUUAUAAGGUAUUUUUUCCUCACAAAGGUUCCUGGAUAGAAUGGGGUUAGCAAGUCAUGGUUAAAGAGUUGCACCUUAAAGUUUAAUAACAAAAGAAAAGUUGGAGAGCAUAACUGCCAUAACUUAUAUUCUUUGUAGGUACAAAUGAACUCAUUAACACUGGUGUGUCAGUUUUUAGGAAAUUACACUUAUAUUUGAGUAUCUGUCACUCUGUCCACUACUUGCACCCUGACUUGCUGAUCUGUAAAUCCUAGAUUUUUCAAAAUUGCUCCUUUAGUCCUUUUGUUUGGUGUGUGUCCAUAUUAGUAGCUUUGUCCAUUUAUGCUGUUAAAUUGUAGCUGCUAUAUGAAUGUCAGGAAGUUAAAUGUGAAAACUAUAUGCUGCAUAUUAUAGCACCAUUGUAAUGAUUGAUGAUAUUAGUGUCUUUGUCCAAUUAUUUUCUGUUCAAUUAUUGCUACUUCUUGAAGAUAAUGUGGAAAGUUUAUGUUUCAGCUGGUCAACAGCCUAUGAGGAUCUACUCUCAACCAAUGAGUGUUUUUCUGAGCCGAUCCCCUUAACUGUAAGUCGAUCAUAUAAUAGCACAUACCUGUCCAAUAAAUAUCUUCUGAUAAGUCAUAUAUCUCUAUUACUUGUGUUUAUUUGACAUUGGAAAUAUUUUCUAAAGUUUGAUGUUUUUAUAAAAUUGGUUUUAAGCAUGUUUUCAUACUGGAGCUCCACUUUAUGUUUUCAAAAGUCAUGGGUAGUUUUCUUGAGCAGCGAGGACGAAAACUCAUCCCUACAACAGUUUGUGGAUGCAUGUAUUGUGCACUGGGACAAGAUAAUGGCGAGGAGUUGGGUGUGCAUGUUUGUGAUCGGUAAUUUAUUUUCUAUGCUUACAUGUUUAUUUUUAGACUCAAGUUACAUGUUUAAAUUGUAUUCUGUUGGCCUUGUUAUAAUCUCAUCCGUGAUUCUAUUAAUGAAGCUUGUUAAUUACUGGCCAUUCCUUAUAUCAAGUUUUAUACGAACAUAAGAGUCUAAUCCUGAUAUGAUUUUGUCUUGUGAGACUCUCAUUGCAAUUUGUAUUCUUUUGAGUUCAUUAUUUCUUAACGUUUAUUGUGUUAGGUUUUAGACGAAUGACUUUACCUUAAGCAAAUUAAAUAUUUUUCUUUUACAUACACCUCAAAUAGUUUUACGCUUCCGUGGUGUUUGCUUAAAUGAUUUCUUAAAUAAACUGUCUUGCGUUUCUCUUGGUUUUUAUUUUAGAGACAUGCGGCACUGUGACGUGUCUAAACUAAGGAGGCGUAGUUUGGGGCGUUACAGAUUUAAUCUUUACACACUAUGAGAAUAUCAAAAUAUCACGAUAUUUGUGCAAAACUCACGAAAUCUUGUUAUUAAAUCAGCCGAAGUCAUCAUAUAUAGUCAUUAACUCGGGCCAAACUUAUAAAAUUAACACUAAAGUCUUGGCGCAGCUAACAUGAUUUGAACCCAGGUUGCCACAUGUUUGUAACAUCCUGAAAUUUCAAAUUUUUAUUUUUAAAAGGAAAGUUAUUUUUAUUUCGAUUUCUAUUAUUCUUUUAAAUUCUUUAUAGUUUUUGAAAAUUAUUCAAAUUUUGUUUUUGGAGCCCAUCGGAUUAAACUAGAGGCCGUGAUGAAUUUGUGGGAUUUUUCGGAACACCGUUUGGAUAUCGGAUAUAUUUUUAAUGAUUUUUAGAAGUUGGUAUUAUCUAAAAAUUUAAUUAAAAAUAGAAAAUCAAGGUCGGUCAAAUUUGGUCCGUCCAGAUUAUAUGGGUAUGGAUCAACUUGGACUUCAUUAUACCCAGUCCCAGACCGACUCCGUCUCCAGCCUCUAUCAGCGACGGAGACCUCCGGUCACUCCUCCGUUGUCCGGCCGUCUCCCGCCGCAAAACGACUGUCUACAGCUCUGUCUCGACGUCCCCGACCUCCCUGGGAUUCCAGCUUGAUGAGUGGAGCUCCGGAAAAGGAGGAGAGAAGGCGACUGUGUUUCCGAUCGGGUUUCCGAUUCCGGUGACGGCGGCGAGCGUGAAUGGUACUGGAAGCAUCCUCUCGUCCUCGUGGUCUUCCCUAUGUCCUCAGUUUCUUCAGAAGAGGUCGGGAGAGAGAGAUUCGAAGUGGAGAAGGAGAGGCUGGGUUCGCCGGCGAGUUUCCGAUUCCGGCCAAGUCGAGGUUUCUCACUGGUAUGAAUAGCUUCAUGUCGGUCUCGGGAACCUUUCCAUGUUGGUGGUUUUCGAAGAGAAGCUCGGAGGAGGGAGAAUCGAAGAGGAGAAGUUUCUGAAUUUUCCGGCGAGGGUUCGACGGAUUCCGGUGAAGCUUGAUGUCGACUCAGGUAUUAAAGUUGGUCUAUUCGAUGAGCUUUACAUGUUUCUAUAAUUGAAAUUGAGAUUGGUUGGGUGUUGGAGAAGUGGGAUUUUGGACAGGUUGUCGACCACCGUGUACGGCGGCGGCGGCGGUUGUUCUUGUAGUUUCUGGCUUUUGUUAAUACAUUGAUUGUGGAGGAGUGUUUUGAGAUGUAUUAGAAUUGCAGGAACAUGAGAAUUGUAUGAAGUUGGGUUUUGAGCAGUGUGGUGUGUGGCCACUGUUCACGGCGGCUAUGGUGGUGUUUUGAAAUCAGAAGACUUGUGUGAGGGAGAGGUUGAAGAUGUGUAUUAUGUUUGGUAUGAGUGUUCAUUCAAUUGGCUUUGGUAUUUGAGAGCAGGGUGCUACGAAUAUCUUGGUUUUGUGAUCAAAGUUGAAGUAAAGCAUAUAUGUUUGUAUGGUUGUGAGAUAUGGUGGUAACUGCAGCAAUGGAUAGUUGAUCAAGGUUCACAUGAUCUUGGAACAAAUGUCCAGUCGAUAACUUUAAGAUGUAAUUGGUAUUGCUAUGCUUGAACAAUUGUGUUUCGGUGGAUUGAAGAUUUGCCGGAAGGUGUGUAGUAAGAUGGGUGUCCAAAGUAAUUGAUGGAGACUGGUGUGUUCUCUUUUGAAUUAUUGUUAGAGAAAGAUGAUUAGAGGAGUUGGGUGUAAUGAACGUUAAGUUGGCUUUGCUGGGUUGUUGUGGAGUCUUAAGAGCAGUAUGGGUACGGGAACAGAAGAAUUGGAUUUUCAUUACUUUCAUAUGGAUUUGAUGUGUUGCUGGGGAGUAGGAAACAGUAAAGGAUUUAGGUUUGGUCAUGUCUGGGUUCGUUGAUAAGUUGUUAUGCCUACAAUUAAGACAUGAGAAGAUUGAUCAAGUUUGAGAUAGGCAAAUAUAAAGGAUUUAGUAGAAAAGAGGAAUUGGGUGUAGAGAGUAAAUUCGGUGCUUAGCUUGGUGCUUGGAGCAUGGUUGGGAUACGACUAAUUAUGGGUGGCGUGUGAUUUGGUAAUUGUCGGAAAAGGUGAGCGGAAUUGGAAAUAAAGAUUUUGAUCGUUUCUAAUUAAAGUGUUUGCCGACUUUAUUGGAACAAGGAUUUGAUGUGAGGGAGCAUGUUGCAAUCCGAGGAGCAGAAUGAUAAGGAUUUCAAAAUGCGUGCCGCGGUGUUAUUAAUUUUAGUAAGCGUCGGAGUCAAGGCUUGGAUUCCAGGUAGGGUCUCUCUCAGGGAACUUUUCUUUAAAUUGAUAAUUAGGUUAUUGUUGAAAUCGGUGCAUUGUGUGGCAUUGGUUGAUAUAACUCUUGGUUGUUAUCGAUUUUGUUAAAAGCAUGUGAUAUCGUUGAUUUAUAUGAAAUUAAUGUUAUUGCUUUCCGUAAAAGCAUGAGUUGAAUGUUAUGAUAUGAGUAUUGAUAUUCAAUUGACAUGCAUAAUGCAUUGUGAGGAAUUGUGAGAAGUGAGAUUGGUGAUUCUGGAGAUGAGAAAGAGAUUGAUAGAAUAGAUACAUUUUGUGUAGUUGAGUUUCCUCAUGGGUUGUCCAAGAUCCAGGGUAGUCCACACGUGCAUAAGUUCAGGGAAUGUAUGCCAUUUCGAUGGCGGACAUCGACAAAACAAUUUUAUCGGGUUUCGGGUUUGGAGACCAUGAGUAUAACAAGAUGAUUAACAAUAGAGGUACAAGCCAUAAGAUAUUACUGAUUAUUAGAUCAUAUAUUUGAGACAUUUGUGUCACCCCCGGUUGGUAAAAUACACGGUAUGGGACGUGUAGGCUCACAUAUCUUUGAUGUAUGGACUGAUAGCCAGUAAUUGAGGAAGACAUUCAUUAGCAUACAUGUAUCAAAUUGUCGUUAUUUAUUUAAAGUAUUAUUUGAUGUUUGAUAACUUGUUUGUGCGAUGUAGUUAAUUAUAACUUAAAAAGGUUUGGCUCUUUGGCCCUACUAAGCGUAAGCUCACCCCUAUAAACUUUUGUUCAGGUACGUUUGAGGACACGUUUUUCUAGAAGCGUAACUGUGAAGUUUAGCUGACGUGUACGAGAGUAGAAGAGUUACAGAAGAUUAGAAGUCAGAUAGAUCGUAAGGGCUUAUCUUUUUGUCUUUGUAAUUGUUUUUUGUUAUUGUAAACGUUUUAUUUUCUUUUAUUUCUGGAAAAGUAUUUGAAAUUGUUUUAUUUUCUUUUACUUUUCCCGCUCAUGUCUCGGGUACGGCGUCAGGUGCUUGGAAACCACCGACACCGGGUCCGGGGUUUGAUGUAUGGACUAGCCAGUAAUUGAGGAAGACAUUCAUUAGCAUACAUGUAUCAAAUUGUCGUUAUUUAUUUAAAGUAUUAUUUGAUGUUUGAUCACUUGUUUGUGCGAUGUAGUUAAGUAUAACCUAAAAAGGUUUGGCUCUACUGAGUGUAAGCUCAUCCCUAUAGAUUUUUGUUUAGGUACGUUUGAGGAUACGUAUUUCUAGAAGCGUAACUGUGAAGUUUAGCUGACGUGUACGAGAGUAAAAGAGUUACGGAAGAUUAGAAGUCAGAUAGAUUGUAAGGGCUCAUCUUUUUGUCUUUGUAAUUGUUUUUUGUUAUUGUAAACGUUUUAUUUUCUUUUAUUUCUGGAAAAGUAUUUGAAAUUGUUUUAUUUUCUUUUAUUUUUUCCGCUCACGUCUUGGGUACGGCAUCAGGUGCUUGGAAAUCACCGACACCGGAUCCGGGGUGUGACAAUGGUAUAUCUCACAUUCUCAACCAAUCCUCCUAAGGUGAUACUUGAUUACUACAUUGAACAUUUUAUUAUAAACUCUACAUAUAUUUUCAUACUUUUAAAAUUUCUUUUCGAAAUUUUAUUAAUAUUGAUAUUUUCUAAUAUUUUUAUCAAAAUAUCUAUUUUUCAGAUAGUCAAAAUUUUCUUGAAACGUGAUAUUUUUGUAAUAUAUCGAAAUUUCAAAUUUUUAUUUUUAAAAGAAAAAUUAUUUCCGAGCUAUUUUUAUUUCGAUUUCUAUUAUUUCUUUCAAUUCUUUGUAGCUUUCGAAAAUUAUUUCAAUUUUUAGUUUGUCAAAAUUUAUCUUUUGAGUCCAUAGGAUUAACGGAAGCGUUUUCGGACAUCGGAGCUAUUUUUAAUAAUUUUUAGAAGUUAAUAUCGUCUAAAAAAAAAAUAUUUUUAAACCCGCUUGAUCUGGACCGUUGGAUCAUUUAAACCGCAAGAUCUGGGCUGGGGGAGACUGGAUCAGAUCAGUUCAGACCCAGACUGGGUCAGCCUCGAUCCAAAUAGCAGCGACGGGUGACCGGACUGCCGCUUUGUCCUCCAGCGACGGCGUGGGGAAAUCAUGGCAGCUUCGGCUUCGUCUCGGUCGCCUGAUCCUAUCUGUGGUCUCGAUUUCGUCGAUGGAGCUUCGAUGAGAGAGAAUCGAAGAAGGGUAGCUUUUUCUGGGUUUGUCGACGAGUUUACUAUUUCAGCCACGGCGGCGAGCAUGAUCGGUCUUGGUAGCUUCACCUCGACCUGUUGAACAUUUCUUUGAAGAGAAGGUCGGAGGAGGGAGAAUCGAAGAGAAGAAGUUUUUAGGUUUUAGGCAGUGUUCUUGGUGUUUUCCGGCGACCUCGGACUUCAAUUCAGGUAUCAAAGUUGGUCGACUCGUCAAGCCCUACAUCUCUAUAUAAUUGGUUUUCAUUUUUGAUUAAGUUUUGAAGAAUCGAAGUUUUGGGGUUUUACUGUGCAAUUUGAGUUUUCCUGUUUGUGUGGUGAUUUUGGUUGCCUUGGGGCGUUCUUCGAUUGGAAUUGACUUUAUGAAGUUGAUUUGAUGAUCUUAAGCCCUUGAAUUACAUAAUUGGAAAAGUUGGGUUUUGGGGCAGUGUUGUUCGGCGAUGGAAGUGGUGGUUGAUGGUUCUGGGUUUGGUUUAUGUUUUAGAUGAAAUUACAAGAGCAUUAGAACUUAAUUAUGUUGUUGUGUCGCCUGGAUUCCAUAAACGGAGAAGUUGAGUGUAAGAAAAUUAGAGUUAUGCAAUUUGGAAUUGAGCUAAGAUUGGAGUAGAUGAUAGUAUCGGGUUUUCUGCUGAUUUUGGUUUAUUGUUUGUGGUGGUGACUGCAGUAUUCUUGUUCCAUUUCCAAUCAUAUGAAAGUGCAGGAACAUGAAUUUGGAUGCUUGAUUGGUAAAAGAUGAGUUUUGGGUGGUAGGAAAUGGAGCUGUGUUAUUGGAAUAGGGAGGGGAAGAUGGUUGUGUAUAGUACUAAUACUGAACUUGGCGGAGUUGAAGGAUGCAACUAAGAACUGUUGAUUUGCGAUAUGGAACUAGGAGCUUGAUUUCAAAUGGAGAAAGUGAGUAUUGGCAAGUGCAGGAGUAGGACAACUUGAGAAGUAUAAAUUGGCUAAAGAGCUUAUGGGUGUCCUUAUCAAUUUCAAAGACUGGAUUGCAUCGACUUGAAAUCAUCAGAGUGAAUAAAUGCGGAUUAAGGAACUCAUCUGGGUGUCUUAGUAGAUUUAUGAAUUCGGUCCGGUUGACUUAAAGUGACUUAAAUUUGGCUUAAAGUGAGUUUUGCGGAUUAAGGAUUCAGGGUGUCCUUAGUAAUUUUAAGAACAUGAUCAAUUUUGGAAAUUGAUUUAGUUUAUUUGAGGUUCGACGGCUUUCUCGGUAAGGAAUUGUGACGAGGAUCGAGUGACUAUCGACUUUUUCAGAAGCAGAAGGAUAAAGAUUUCAGAAUGCGUGUCGCUGAGUUAUUAGUUUUAAUUAGCGUCAGAACUAGCGCUCGGAUUUCAGGUAUGGUCUUUCUUGGGGAACCUUUUUUUAAAUUGAUAAUUAGAUUGUUAUUGAAAUUGGUGAAUUGUUUGUCAUUGAGUGAUUAACUCUUGGAUGUUACUGCUUUCUAUAAAAGCAUGUGUAAUCGUUGAGUUAUAUGAUUGUUAUUAUCGCUUUUCUUAAAAAGUAUGUGUUGGAUGAUAUAAUAUGAGUAUUGUUAUUCGUUGCAUACAUAAUGCAUUUUGAAGAAUUAUGAGAUUAGUGAGAUUGGUGAUUAUGGAGAGGUGAGAACGAGAUCAAAAUAUACAUUUUGUACAGUUGAGUUUCCUUAUGGGUUGUCCAUAAAUCUAUGUCAUCCCACUUGCGCAAAUGAGUGGGCAAAGUAUACUCCUUCGAUGGCGGACAUCAAUAAAACGAUCUUUCGGGUUUCGGUUUUGGAGAGUAUGAGUAUAACAAGAUGACUAACAAAAGAGGUACAGGUGAUGAGAUAUUACUGAUUGUUAGAUCAUAUAUUCGAGACAUCUGAGUCACCCAUGGUUGGUAAAAUACACUGUAUGAGACGUGUAACUGAGGAAGACAUUCAUUAGCAUAUAUGCAUCUAAUUAUCGUUAUAUAUUUAAAGUAUUGUUUGAUACUUGAUAACUUGAUUGUGUGACGACAUAGUUAAAUGUAACUAAAGAGGUUUGGCCCUACUAAGCGUGAGCUCAUCCCUAUAUACUCUUAUUCAGGUUCAUACAAGGACACAUAUUUGUAGAAGACUAACUGUGACGUUUAGUUGACGUGAACGAGAGUCGAGAAGGACUACCGAAGUUUCUAGUGAGCUAAACAACAAGACUAGUUUUACCUUUAUAGUGAGCUAGACUGCAAGACUUGUUUUGUCUUUAUAAUCGGUUUUGUUUUUUGUAAUCGUUUUAUUUUCGACUAUUUCGAGAAAAAUAUUUAAAAUUAUUUUAUUUUCUUUUAUUUUUCCCGCUCACGCCUCGGAUUCGGUGUUAAGUGUUUGGAAACCACCGACACCGGGUCAGGGGUGUGACAAUUUUAGUCCUUGGUUUGAUGCCUAAGCUACUUCGCUCCUCCAAACUGGGCCGGUGUUGGAUCAAACAAACAGAAACUUGAAAGAAGGAGUCCGAUACAAGUCAUACAACUACGUUGGUCGGAGCGGAUUUUACGCAUCAAGGUGCCCUUGCACCAUUAAUCUGUAAGUUUUUAAAUCUUCGUAUGCAAAGAUUUAAUGAAGACUAGAGACCUUAAAUUCUUUUCUUUCAUUUUUAUUUUUGACCUGAUCAAAUUAAACGCCAAUAAUUAGAGUACCUCUUAUUCAAUCUCAUGUCCUCAUCUCUUGUGUUGAAAACACUUUUGAUUAUUUUUUUGAGUUUUAAUUUUGUUAAUGGUAUUAAAAUACAUGCAUGAUAAUGCGACAUAGAUGAUCGGAUCAAAACAUUGCGUAUUAAUUGCUCGAUUCACUUGUAGAAGAAUUUUCGAGCUUCGGGCCAAUAUUCCAUUUUUCUUUUUAAUAAAAAAUUCUAGCAGCUAGACAGCUAGUUAACCAAUUGUGAAGCUACACAACUGGGACUUGCAGCGGAAAACAACUACCACGCGUUGCAUGGAGAGGUUAGGUCCUGCAUGCAACUCCGCCGCCCGUAAAUCUCCUACUGACAGCUCUACCCCUCGAUUUGCAGAUACUGAUGUAAAACCCGAGGACAAAACGGUAAUCGUUGAUACUCCGAGCCAGACAUAAAACUAUCCAAGAACAAAGAGGAGACACCACAGGAAAAAUGACCGGACCGCCUCUACCUCGACCCUUUCUAACGUGCUUGGUUGGUGUAGCAGUCUUAACCUGCGCACUAACCUUCUGUGUUGCCCUAGAUGUCACCCCCCAAGACCCAAUCAUCCACCAAGUCACAGACCAUGAUACUAACAAGCUCCUUGGAACCGAGAAAGAGUUCAAGAGUUUCAUGGAGAAGUAUGAGAAGAAGUACCCUACUAGGAAGGAGUACAUGCACCGGCUAGUUGUUUUUUCCAAGAACAUGAUCAGAUCCGCCGAGCACCAAGCUCUGGAUCCGACGGCGGUUCACGGCGUCACGCCGUUCUCGGAUCUGGAGGAGGAGGAGUUCGAGAGGAUGUACACCAUUCCUCGAAAAGUUAAAGUAAUCUUUUUUAGAAAUCGAAUGGAUUCGGUCUUAUACAUACGCAAGGAAGGUAAUAAAAAAAAAGAAAGAUGAGUUCUUUUAUCACUUAGGAGCUGUGCGAGAUAAAAGUCUCAUGCACGGUUUUGAAUGAGAGAAAGAAGUGAGGAAUCCUUUUUUCGACACUGACUCUCCCACUCCAGUUGUUGCUUUUUUUUUCUUUUUUUUCUGUUACUUCAAAAGUCGUUGCUUCAGUUUCAGCCACUCGAAUUUUCGAUGUUCUUUUUUAUUUCUCAUCAAACGAAUGGCAUUUUCUUCCUAUUACUCAAACAAGCAUGAAACGUAUGCUUGCGUAUUCGUCCAUAGGUCAAAUUGGAUAUGUAAUUAUUGGAAUAAUUGUUGGAGACUCAAAUGGUGGAUAUGUAAGCAUGAUAACUUAUAUGUUGUUCUAUAUCUCUAUGAAUCUAGGAACUUUUGUUUGCAUUAUAUCAUUUGGUUAGAGGUGCGCCCGGCUUAACCAACGGCGGAGGCGGUACGGGGAGCACGGUUGAGCUUCUGGAUGUUAGCGGGUUGCCUGAGAGUUUUGAUUGGAGAGAGAAAAAGGAGCUGUUACUGAGGUCAAGAUGCAGGUAGUUUCUAAUUUUCGUUUUAUUUCUGAUUUUUUAGGUUGGACACACAAUAUAUGUGAUUAACAGUUUCGGCCGUACUUAAAUCCUAGCUUUUUGCAAAUCAAGUUAUGGCACAUACGAUAUAGAAGUCUCGUAGCUGGUUGUAAAUUACUAAAUUGUGUAAUCUGAAGUCGAUCAGCUGAUCAGGUGCUGCUGGUUCUUUUGUUUAAUUGAUUGUAUAACUAGCUUGACUUUGAGAGUUUGAAGUUUUGUACAGAAAGAUUUGUCUAAUAGAGCUAGGGUGUUUGUGGAACAUGGAAUUAUUCUUCAGGCAAGGAGUUGUAUUGUGAUACUUAAAGCCUCUAAAUCUCUUGUUAUGGAUGCAGGGUGGCUGUGGGUCGUGCUGGACCUUUAGCACAACGGGAGCUAUUGAAGGAGCCAAUUUCAUUGCCACUGGGAAGCUUGUUAGUCUCAGUGAACAGCAGCUUGUUGACUGUGAUCACCAGGUAAUUAAGCCUAGCCUCUCUGGAAUAUAUUGAAGUACUCAUUUAACUUUAGGGCGAUAAAAAUUUAAUUGAUUGAGCAUAUAUAUAAUAUUUGGCAUGCCUACUUAAUUAGUUUCGUUUAAUGUUUGUGGCAACUAUAAUCAAGUGUGAUGCAAAAGAGAAAGAUGCAUGUGAUCGUGGUUGUGGUGGCGGACUUAUGACAAAUGCCUACAAGUAUCUAAUGGAAGCAGGAGGGUUGCAAGACGAGGUUUCAUACCCUUAUACGGGGAAAAAGGGCGAAUGCAAAUUUAAUCCUGAAAAAGUAGCCGUGAGAGUAACCAAUUUCACCACUAUUCCCCUUGAUGAGAAUCAGAUUGCAGCGAACUUGGUCCACAAUGGUCCUCUUGCCAGUGAGUACUAAACCUGAUAAUAUGCUUAAAAAUAGCUAGGCUUUUUAUGUAUCUAUGUGUGCGUACAUAGAACUGCCUUAAGUGUCUUAUUUUCUGAAUAUGAUGUGCACUGUUUAGCAUAUUUAGAUCUGAGUGUAGAUACACCCCACUGAUACAGAAUCUUAAUUGAUGUAUGUAUGCGCAGUUGGCUUGAAUGCUAUGUUCAUGCAAACCUACAUUGGCGGUGUGUCAUGCCCUCUUGUUUGUUUCAAGAAAUGGGUGAACCACGGUGGUUCACUUGUUGGAUAUGGUGAGAGUGGCUUCUCGAUUCUCAGGCUCAGCAACAAGCCGUAUUGGAUCAUCAAGAAUUCAUGGAGCGCAAAAUGGGGAGAACAUGGUUAUUACCGACUUUGCCGAGGCCAUGGCAUGUGUGGGAUGAAUACCAUGGUGUCUGCAGUUGUGACCAGUACGCGGGCAUCCUAGCUGCAUCUCCCGAGAUUAGCUAGUAUAUAAUUAUACACUAUAAUAUUAUAUGCACCUCUCCCUUGUUUUUUCUUAAUCCGAAUUUGAUGUUCCUAUAAUCAUAUUUCAACAAUAUUAUUGUUAAUAUGCCGAAGUGGAAAGUCUUGUUUACGUCAAAACCAAUUCGAACUAUAUUUUGUUAGCUUUAAAUGCUAGAUUGUCAGACUUCAAAUUUAAGUCGGAAAAAUUUUACAAUAUGUUAAUGCAUGUUAUGCAUCAAUUUUAUCCUAAAAUUGUAAAAUGAGUCUCUAAAGUAGUAAUAUUAGUCCUUGAAGUUGUAAUAUAUACGAGUAGUUGUAAAUUUUAAAGUUACAACAUUAGUUAUCAUGUGUCCUUAAAGUAAAUUUUACAGUUACAACAUUAGUCAUUGUGUCUUUAAAGUGAUAAAAUGCGUGCUUAAAGUGGUAAUUGAAUCCUCAAAGUGAUUGAAAAAGUUUUUAUAUCUUUGAGGAUUUGUAUUACAACUUUGAGGAUUUGUAUUACAACUUUGAGGACUCAGUUACCUCUUUAAGGACACAUAAGGAUUAAUAUUGUAACUAAUUUUUUUACAACUUUAAAGACUUAUAUUACAACUUUAAGGACUAGCUAAUAUUACUACCGUAAGACUCGAUCAUUUUAUAACUUAAGAGCAAAGUUGAUACAUCACAUGCAUUUUUUUUUUAUUGGUUAAUGAUCGAGGAUAGGCGAAUAAUCACCUAUCACUCUAUGUUAUUAAUAAAAGAAAAAAGAAACAAAGGAGGGGGAUCAAAACCAAAACAUCCUAAAACAAAUGACAGACUAGCUGAAACGAAAUUGAGGCAUACCUCUAACAUCGUUAUUAUAAGACAAUAAUAUGAAAGGUGGAGGCUCAUCCCACCAUAUCAAUUCAGAGCAUGACGUACCUUGAUUUGCCAGAGCAUCAGCUAUCUUAUUCCCUUCACGAAAAAUAUGAGUAGCCUUGAAAUUCAUUUUAGAGAUUCGGUAUAAGCAAUUCAACCAACGAACUCGAAGAGGCCAAGGAACAAGAGAAGGUCUGCGAAUAUAAUCAAGUACCAAAGAUGAGUCAACUUCCAACCAAAUAUGCUUCCAAUCACGAACCCAAGCAAGCUCAAUAGCUUUAAUAACAGCCAUUAUCUCCGUUGAAAUUGAACUAGGAAUUUCAAGAUUAGAGGCAAAAAGCACCUAGAAAGUGGCCCUUGUAAUCUCUAAAAAUAGCACCAUAACCACCCACUCCCUCUUCAUGCUUCCAAGAGCCAUCAGAAUUUAUCUUCACCCACCCAAGAGAAGGAGGAAUCCAAUUAACUUCAACCACUCUAGGAGUGGCACGAGGUCGACAUGGGGCUCCAAAACAUUUCAAAAUUCGUAGCUCCUGGACACUGUUAUGCAUAUGACCCGUUGUAAGAUGACUAGUGGCUCUUAUAUGACUUGAUAUUAGCUUGCAAACAACUUCAACUGAAAAGCGACAACCAUCAAAUCUGGUUUUAUUUCUCACAUGCCAAACAAACCACAAAAUGGAGGUAAAGCAAAUAAGCCAUAAUUCCAUUAAUUGAGGACUUCUUCCAUUCUGCAAACCCAACCCAUAAAGCUCCAAAAUAGAAGAAGGAAUCAUACCUAACUCAAAAAUAGAGCCAAAGUGACAGAAGAGACGCCAACGGCACCAACACCCAAAGCCAAAGGUAAAGUGUUCGUCAAAGGACUCCACAAUUCCAAGAAUGCUUUCCAUGUGCUCGUGCAAUAAUGGUAAGGAUAUCGAGAGACGCCAACGGCACCAAAUAUUCCAGCUUGAUUCAAUACGCCUUCAAAAUUGGCUAAUAUGAAUUCUGUCCACUCCAUUACGCCUAUCUCAAGUGUAGCACAACCCCGGAAACAAAGGCUCGAAGACCAAUCUUGUUUGGUGUUUAGCAUCCUGUGAAGUAUCGGGUAAAAAUUCUCUUCGAAAGUGAAAAGACCUCCAUCAUGUCUGUUAUCAACCUUCUCCAAAGUAUGCCCCUUAAAUACAUGGGAAAAGUUGUGGGUUGUUCUUAUCACUUGAUCCUCCAAAUCUUGGCGAAAUGUAAGAAAGCCUGAGUUCAUUUCAACUUCUGUCACCAAGGUAAUGAUGUCUUUAGGAGGGACAUCAACAUGAAUGGAGCUUAAAGGCUGUGAUCUCACGUACUCUAUGCCCUUUCCAACAACCUGCCUGUGUUUGUCCAAAGCUGCCUCGCGGGAAAUUCGACCAUAUGCAUCCAUUACCUGAGAUUAUAGCACGCAGAGAUGUUAAAAGCAAGCAAUAGCAAGUCAAGCUUUGCGCGAGAAAAGCAAGUUCCACGUACAAAGCUUGAGGGGGCACUGUUGAUACCAAAAAAAAAGGAUUACAGAAAAGGAAAAAAAUAAAUAAAAUAAAUAAAUGGAAGAGUAUUUAUUCAUGUCAUACUCUUCCGUUGGUUUUGAUUACACGCACAAAGCUUUUGAGUUCAAUUACAACUCUUGCAAGCAGGUGCUUGGAUAAGAACAAAUCAGUACGAGCACCAGAGUUUGAUUGUAACUCAAUUAUCCUAACCAAGCACUCUAUAUAAAGAGGCCAAUACCUUCAAAAAAAAAAAAAAAANAANNNNNNNNNNNNNNNNNNNNAACACCAACGGGAGGAGGCAGGCGGGCAACAAGGAGGAUCACAAAGGAGCGGUUCAUUCUUUACAAGGUUCGGAUGGAGAGUUCUCUUUCUCUUUGCGCAGCUCUCUUUAUGUUCUGUUGAUGGAGGCAUCACUGCCUUCAUAUUCCUCGCAGAUGGCCUCUGGUGUUCUUGGUUACUAUUGUUCCUGGUCACCCAAAUCCCUUGCGGAUCGAUCUGGUUAUUAUAGUUACUGUGUUCUGUUGGUUACUUGGUUACUACUGUGUUCUCUUGGUUACUUGGUUACUCAAAUCCCUUGUGGAUCGUUCCUGGUUACUCGUUACUUGGUUACACAAAUCCCUUGCGGAUCGUUCCUGGUUACUUGUUACCCUAAACAUUGGUUACUGGAUACUAUGGUUACUGGAGACUAAUGGCUACUAUGGCAAUGGUUCUAUGUUACAAUGGUUAUAUGACACUAUGGUUACUAUGAUUCUGGUUCUAUGGCUACUGUAGCACUAUGGUUACAAUAUGGUUCUGGUUCUUUGGGUACUUUGACACUGGUUACUAUAACAGAUCGGUUGCCCUUUGAUCCUACAAAACCAAACACAAAACCAAUACUCAAAAUUCCACCACAAAAGGCCAUUGUUGUCCCUGUUCCCUGUUAACCACCACAGCCAAAUACCUUUCCAAAUUCCAUGUUUCAAGCACCAACUCAAAUACUGUGCAAUGAAACUAAAAGAGACAAUAACAGAGGCUUACCCUCAAACUAUGACAAUCGAUCUAUUCCGAUACUACAACUACUACCUGUGUUUCAUACCUUCAUGCUGUAGCAGGAAUGGUGAUGAUAUUGCAAAAAGAGAACAGCAAGUUCCUGUCAAGUUAACCUCACAAAAACAUCCGAGCAAAGAGAGUCAUUGAUUCUUUGGCUCUGUCCCUUUAAAAAAAACAAAGGGGGCUCGGUGAGUUUUCUCAUGAUUCUUCUCCAAUAUCACAAGAUGACAAGAAUCAAGCUUGGCGGUGACCCUCCCAAACAGAGAAGGCUUACUCAAACAUAAAUAUGCAUUCACCACCAUGGAGUAAAACAAAAGAAGCAAACUUAAUUAAACAAGUUUUGUUUCUGGAAGUUCCAAGGCAGCGAGCCGAAUACACCCACAGUCAAAUAAAUUGGAGCUAAGAAGUUUAGAGUCUCAAAGCAAAAGACGUGUUCUUCCUCAAAUUAAAGCCUGCAAAUUGAAGCCUGCAGCAAAAUUAACCUACUCGAAGCUAAGCUCAUCCAUUCGACGCUAAGCUAAUCUACUCGAAGUUAAGGAAGCGAAGGAUAAUUAAUUUUGCCAUUGAAGAAUUGUAACAAAGCACCUAUCCAACACAAGGCAGUAACCAAAUUGAACGCUACCUGUGAAGAAACAAGCUUUUGACCAGUGGGAAAUCCUUCGAAAUUACUCUGAAGCAUAAUGGAGAUACUUUCGUCAUGAGGGUAUUUGAAUUGUAGGGAUGAAAGCAGGAACACAAUAGGGGUUAUCCUUACCCAAUUUCGCACAGUGAGAAAGAGCACAGCAAAUCUCAAGCCUCCCAGUGUUGAUAAAUUUCUUCUCGGCGACUUAGGAGCACUGCCAUCACCAAGUCGGUUGCUGCGCCAACCCCUCUCCAUUUGAUCAGUUUCGGCCUUCAAGUUCUUCUGGGUUACAAUAAACAAGGCAGCAGAAGAUCAAAAGAAAGAAAAGAAAUGAAGAAUGGGGAGAGGGAAAGCUAACGGGCCUCCACAUUGACGGAUGCUACUCACAAGCAAGGCCCAUGUCAAAUUUGGGCCCAUCUGAAAAGUUCAACGAGGCUCAAUAUAUGGGUGUUCAAAUCAAAAUACCCAAACUUCGGUUUCGUUUAAAAAUUCUUCGGAACCCGAAUGAAGUUGCGUUUGGUACAAAACCAAGAAAUACUCAAAUACCCAAAUUUUUGAACUACAAUGGUUUGAUCCCUUCACAGGGUAUGUAGGCAGUCCAGAUUUAAAUCUGGAUAUAACCACAUUUAAAGCCAAAUCGUUGGUUCUUUCCAAGCCAAAUUCUAAAACACAUAACCAAACCUUUCGACAAGUCAUCUACUUCGUCGAAACCCCAAAAGCCAUAAAACUUGAACUACGAGUGACUUGAUCCCUUAUGGGGUACGUAGGCAGCCUGUAAAACAAAUCGGGUGCAGUCGCAAUUCCCCUCGAACACACAUUCCCCAUUUGUUACUUUGUAAUUAGAAUCAAAGGGUCUUCCCCCGAAAGCAAGGGUUGUAAUUAAGAAAUUUAUUUUAUUUCGAAUGGGUCGAACCAGACAUAAUUAAAACUCUAUUUUAAUCAAUGAGAUAGAGUGAAAUUGUGUUGGGUAUAUUUAUUUACAAUUUUUGCUCAACAUAGUUUUUGGCGACUUCACUGGGGACUCUCAACUGGUCAUCAGACAAAUAAAUGACGAGUAUGCAGUCAAAAAUGAGAACCUUAUAUCAUACUACCAAAGAGUUAAAUAUCUCCUGGGACAAUUUCGAGAGAUAUAUGUUGGCCACAUUCCAAGAUCAGAGAAUGAUAAAGCAGACGCAUUGGCUAACUUGGCAGCUUCUUUAGUACUUCCUGAAGAGAAAGACAUCCAAAUAACAGUUGGAGAACGUCGAUUGCAGUCCUACGUCACUUGAACGAAUGGAAGCUACCAAUGAAACAAAUGUAGUUUCUGUGUUCGAAACUGAGGAAGAAUCUGAUUGGCUCAAAUUGAUGCAGUGAACGAGCAAGAGAGGAAAGUAUGAUUCAAAGUCUCCGAGCAAACACCACAAAGCUCACAUCUAGAAACCCAAGGAAUACCUCGACGCUGAAGUAAAACAUCAGAAAUAACUCUACCUCUUAACACCUUCCAUGCUAGGAAAGACAUUCUUGGCAGAAUAUAUUUAGCCCAUAAUCUCUUACCCCAAAUUACUGGAUUAGAAGAAUGCCGCAUAAAAGUAUAGGCUUGUUUUGCGGUUAACUCAUCGGAGGCUGAAGAGGUCCAUAUAAGUUUGUCAUUAACUGAAGGAUCUUCUGACACAGGGACUUGAUUGAUCAUACCACAUAAGGCUGGGUAGUGCAACUGUAGUAAUGGAGGAAGAUUCCAUGAACCAUUGUCUAUAUAUUUUGACACCAAAUCCGAGUUAUCCUGCAUCAACACAUUAGAACCAAAGAACUCAUUUAUUGGCCUACCCAUAAACUUGUCGCGCCAAAAGUAAAUUCCAUUCCCAGAACCAAUGAACCAUUGAGAAUUAUCUUGAACAGUCUUCCAGAAUUGACGAACACCAGGCCAUAUAGAAGAAGGAGCAUAAGAUUUCCGUCUAGAGAAACGAUUGCGAAUAAAAGCACAACCCUCAGAUUGAGCUGUAUAGAUUUCCCAGCAACGUUUCAAUAAGAGAGAUCGAUUAAGCAGAACUAGUUGUUUGAGCCCCAAGCCACCUUCUGCAAUUGGGGAACAACAAGACUUCCAAGCCACAAGAGGGAUCCCUCUUUUAUCAAUUGAGCCAGACCACAGAAAGUUUCGGCACCAUACCUCAAUUUUUCGCACCACAGACACAGGCCAUUCAUAUACUUGAAAAAUGUAUACCAACAUGCUAAAAAUAACAGACUUGAUAAGCUGCAAACGUCCUGCCAUUGACAAAAAAGAACUCACCCAACUCGAUAACUUUAUCCUUAUUUUGUCAACAAUCUGAUGGAAAUAAGAAGCACGAGGUUUGCCAUGAAAAAUAAGGGCACCCAGAUACAUGAAUGGAGCAGACCCCAAGGGAAUACCCAAGAAGUUCGAAAUAGAAUGCCGCCUUGAAUGUAUACUAUUUCCAAUAAAAACCUGAGACUUCCCUUUGUUGAUAACUUGACCUGAAACUCUACCAUACUCAUCGAAGAACCGCAUAAUCCGCGAUAAAUUCCGCCUAUUGCCCCGAAAAAAAACAAUAACAUCAUCUGCAAAUAGGACAUGAGAUGGAGCAAGAGUAUUUCGUGGAGAAGAGAUACGCUGCAGUUGUCCCGAUGAAACAAGUAAAGAGAUCCCACGACUAAGGACUUCUUCUGCUAAGCAAAAGAGCAAGGGAGAAAGAGGGUCACCUUGACGCACACCCCUUUCACAAGAAAAAUACCCCACAGUCCUCCCAUUAAUCAACAGAGAAAGCUUGGCUGACAGAAGCAAGGCACGCACCCAUUGUACAAAGAUCGGAUCAAACCCAAAAGCCUGAAGAACAUGAAGAAGAAAAUCCCAUGACAGAGUAUCAAACGCCUUUGUAAUAUCAACCUUAAUUGCAAGGUUACCCCCCAUGACAUUUUGAGUUCAACAAAUUAAAGCACUCUGAAGUAGUUAAUAUACAGUCUGAUAUGUUCCUCCCUGCAACAAAAGCAUGCUGUUGAGGAGAAAUAAUACGAGAUGCCACUGAUGCCAACCGGAUAGCUAUGAUCUUUGGGAUAAUUUUAAACACAAAGUUGGUGAGGGCAAUAGGCGAAACUGCUUUAUGGAGUCGGCAUGAUCAACUUUGGGGAUUAAGAUGAUAAUACCUGAGUUAAAGGAAGGAGCCAAAUAACCAUGUUGAAAAAAUACUGAACAGCCUUAACAACAUCAGCACCAACAACAUCCCAGCAAGAGACGAAAAAAUGGCCAUUAAAUCCAUCUGGCCCCGGGGCACUAUCAGGAUCCAUUGAUUUGACAGCUGCCCAAAUUUCCUCUGAUAAUGGAACACUAGUAAGCAUCGUAUUUUCCUCAGGAGUUACCAUAGAGUGAAUCACUUUGGACACCAAGCCACUAUCUUCAUACUCUGCAUGUUUAGUAAAAAGAUUUUUGUAAUAAUCAACUAUAUGAUUUUGGAUAUAAUGAGGAUCCUGAAGCACCUGAUCUCCAUCACGAAGCAGAGUAAUAGAAGAACGAUUUCGGCGCACUUUACACAAAGCAUGAAAAUAAGAAGAAUUACGAUCACCUUCUGAUAACCAUCGCAACCUUGACUUCUCACGCCAAAGAAUUUCCUGAUGCAGAAUAGACUCAUUCAAAAUGGCCUGCAAUUCAGUCUCUUUUUCAAACUCUUCAUCUGAUCCCCCAGAAGCUGCAAUUUUAUUUUGAAUAUCAGCAAGGGCUGCAAGGUCAAACUCAACCCGACGGUGAACAUCCCCAAAGACCUCCCAGUUCCAAGUACGGAGAGAUUUCCUUAAGGUACGCAGCUUAUAUUGCAGGACAGAAUAAGGACAACCAAACGAAGUAGUAGAGGACCAACAUCCUUUGACAAAACUCAUAAAAUCCUUAUGCUCCAACCACAUUUUUCUAAACCGAAAGAGACUAAAACGAGACCCUGUAAACUUAGAAAAGGACAUUAGUAGUGGAUUAUGAUCAGAGCAAGUUCUGGGUAAGGUGCAACAGUCAAACUGAUCCCAUUCCUCCAUCCAAUUCAAAUUAGCAAGACUUCUAUCUAAUCUUAGCUCCACAUUACCACGAAAACCACGCCGUCUCACCCAUGUAAACUCUGCCUCUUUAGUAUCUACAUGAAUAAGUUCACAAACAUCUGACAUUGUCUGAAAUUCCUCACAUGAUCGCCGACAUAGAGGAGCACCUCCUUUCUUUUCAUGAGCACCAAGAACUGCGUUAAAAUCUCCAAAAACCAACCAUGGUCCUGUAACAAAACGACCUUUGAAAUCAGUAAUAUCUUCCCAUAACUUCCGGUGGCCAGAGAUUGUGGUACGAGCGUAGACAGCUGUAAGAAAACAGUUUACCGAAUCAAACAUAACUUGUAAAGAAACCUGCUGAUCCGAGGUAGACAACACCCGAAUCCAUGGAGCCAGAGAAGUCUUACAAAAAACCCAUAGAUUAGGUAAUGCAGAACCCCGGUCAUUUGCACCAACAAAUCGCAUGCCUAACGAACGCCAAAAGAAUAGAGGAAUUGAAGUCAAGGCAACGAAAGGCUCAGCUAUACAUAAAACUUCCAGGUUGUGAACCCGUACAAACUGUUUCAAAGCAUCUUGAGUGGGGACAUUAGCAAUGCCCCGUAUGUUCCAAUAAAGAACCCUCAUUUAGGAGUGUCUUUGGAGCGACGGAGAUAGGCUUCCCUAUUCUCCUUCGAAGCAGCCUUCCUCUUUUGAGACCUGGACAUAACAACAGUAAAACCAUCAUCAAUGUCAACUCGUUCUGUCUCCUCAUACCAGCUAUCAAUUCGAGUUACUGAAUUUGCAGCAACAGCAACCCCAAUGUCAGAAGACUGCUCAUGCAUACUACCACCGGCAGAGUCAUCUUCACUAUUCUGCUCGUUCUGAUCAAUUGCAUACCUAGUAUCAUCUUCUUGCUCAACCACAUUACCAUGGAUAGCUACUGGUACCAAAACCACAUUCACCCCCGGCUCAACCACUUCUUGGACAGGUGCCACCACUUCCACUAGCGGUUCCGGCACAACACUAGAUAUCACUAGUUGGCCGACCGGUGCUGGAGACUUCUGCACAAAGGAAGGACCCUCACCAAAAUCUUCCCUGGGGUUUGGAGUUGAAUCAAUAAUCAUGCUCUUACCUCGAUCUGCUGGAUUAGAUGGGUUUUUAGGCACAUACACUUUGGAGACUCGUUGCUGAUCACGGUUCCUGCGAGAUCGUCUACUACGCUUGCGCGAUCGACCUCUGCCUUUCUCAGUCUCAUUAUCCAUUGGAACCGGGUCAGAAGAUCUAUGCACAUACUUGCAAGCUGUGACAAGGUGCCCAACGUUGCCACAAUGAGCACAAAUAUGUGGAAGCUUCUCAUAAUCCACAGUCUGAACAAAAGACGAACCGCACUUACGCUUGACAACCAAUUCAUGCGGUGGAUCAACAGAGAGAUCAAUAUCAACCAAUAUUCUAGCAAAUAGGGUUCUAGGUUCCCAAAACUCAAGCCCUAGAUCCUAAAACCUCACCCACACCUGAGCAUUAGUAUUACGUUGAUUCGCUGGGGAGAAAUUUGGAACCCAUCGCAUGAAACGCAAGAAGCCAGGCUUGAGAGCAAUUGCACCCUUUACCCAGACUGUAGAGAGAUCCUCAUCCGUAGAGAAGCUAAACGUGAAAUAACCUUUUCCCAUGGGAAUAAUCUUCCAAGCCCCUAGACUUCCCCAAAGAAGAGAAAGCUUAUGAGACAGAUCUGAUGCAGAGUAGGGUUUAUCCCUCAAACCCAAUUGCACCCUUCCGAUUAACAUAUGUUUACAAUUAUCCAAACCCGAUUGAUAGCCCUCUUCUGAAAUAGUAACAGUUGUCUUGCCAUCUAAAAUCUCAGGAAUAGGUAGAUCAUCAAUUGGGAUGAAAGCUUGCGCCGCCGCCGCCGCAUAAGAUUUCGUCGGCUUCGCAGCCCCCUCGUCGAGAAAAGACCACGGGCAGAAGGGACGAUGCUGAACAGCCAUGACGUCGUGAAGCAAACGGAACUCGAAUUCAAGGAUUUACUGCAGGGAGGCUCCAGCACGGGGAAACCCUAGCAGAGCCAUCACCAACAUAAUGUAACUCGAUGCAUCACAUCCAUUAACACACUAUAGUCUUACCUUUUAAGUUGAGUCAAUGCAAGAGUUGCACUAUUUAGACCAUUUGGUUCUUCCGAAAAUAUGUAUUAUAUUUUUGAGAAUUUCAACGUCUGUAGUAGAGUCGACGAGGAUUUUAGAUUUGAUUUCGUCGAUGGCGUUGUCGAGCUAUUGCGUCAAUAGGAUGAUGAAGAGCAACCGGAAUCACCUCUCUUCUGACGCAAUUUGUUUUUCAAAGAUCUGGUCCGUUGCACUGGCCGGUCGAAGCCUUUUCAGUUCUCAAAACAGUUCAGAAACUACAGGUCUGAUAAUGAAAUGCAUAAAACAUUUAUAACUAUUGGUAAUUUAUAUCCUAGAGUUGUUCGAGUGUACUAACCACAGGAAAUAACGAUCUAGCUAGACUACCUUAUUUUCGUUAGGGCUGCUCUAAUUAGUCAACAUAUGCAGCUAGGUGAUGAUAAACUUACCCAAUUCGUUGUGAAAAUAAUUGAACCAUCAGUAGCCGUGAUAGUCCUUACGUACCUGCCCUUUCAUGAGCCUUAAUAUUUGGUGGCUUAUUAGCUACGCACUAAUGGUAGUUAAUUGUGCUUAUUUUGUGCAUGUGUGUUCUAAUACAAUUACCUACCUAGUUCUAAUUGUUCUAAUUCGUCGUGGAAUGUUUUCAGAGGAGAAAACUGAAUGGGGUAGCAUAGAGCCCUAUUACAAAAUAAUGUAUCUAUAACCUUCUCUAAUUUACAUAGUAAUUGACGCAAUUUGGCCGAACUGUUUCUGAACACACUGCUUCAGUUCUUUAUAAACCACGUACCAUAUGUAUGUAUUCAAGUGUCAGAUAUACUGAACCUACAUCGCCAAAAUGGAGAGAAUUCAGGUCAGUAUAAUUUCCAAACACACCGUCAAACCAUCAGCUUCCUCUUCACUACUUCGGGAUUGUCUAUGGUACAGCGCUGUAUGCCAUACAUCCUCUAACAGGACUUGUGUGCACGUGCCUUGCAGUGGGGGUGGGUGUUUUGUUUUGAAAUUUUUAGCCUUGAAAGCAGGCUGCAUAUCAUGCAGGGCUGCAGAUAGAAUUUUCCCUGAAUAUCACGCAUAUCAGCGCUGCAUGAUAUGUAUGAUUGUCUAUGGUACAACGCUGCAUAUCAUGCAGCGCUGCAUUAAAGCAGACUGCAUAUCAUGCAACGCUGCAGGAUAUGCAGCCUGCUUUCAAGGCUAAAAAUUUCAAAAUAAAACACCCCCACCUGCAAGGCACGUGCGACACAAGUCCUGUUAGAGGAUGUAUGGCAUACAACGCUGUACCAUAGACAAUCCCACUACCCUACUUCAGCCUUACAAGCUUACCCUGCUCGACCAGCUCACUCCUCCAUCGUAUGUCCCCAUGGUAUUCUUCUACCCCAUUACUGGCCCUGCAGUCUUCAAUCUUCAAACCCUAGCUGACUUAAGACAUGCCCUUUCCGAGACUCUCACUUUGUACUAUCCACUCUCUGGAAGGGUCAAAAACAACCUAUACAUCGAUGAUUUUGAAGCCGGUAUCCCAUACCUUGAGGCCCGAGUGAAAUGUGACAUGACUCAUUUUCUAAGGCUUCCAAAAAUCGAGUGCCUAAAUGAGUUUGUUCCAAUAAAACCAUAUAGUAUGGAAGCAAUAUCUGAUGAGCUUUACCCCUUGCUUGGAGUUCAAGUCAACAUUUUCGAUUCUGGGAUAGCAAUAGGUGUCUCCGUCUGUCACAAGCUCAUCGAUGGCCGAACGUCAUACUGUUUUCUCAAGUCCUGGGGUGCUGUUUUUCGUGGGUGUCGUGAUGAAAUCAUACAUCCUAAUCUCUCUCAAGCAGCAUUGCUUUUCCCACCGAGAGAUGACCUGCCUGAAAAGUAUAUAGCUUUGAUGGAAGGGUGGUCGAUUGCCGUAAAGAAAGUUGCUACAAGGAGAUUUGUAUUUGGUGCGAAAGCCAUAUCUGCAAUUCAAGAUGAAGCGAAGAGCGAGUCCGUGCCCAAGCCAUCACGAGUUCAGGCCGUCUCUGGUUUUCUCUUGAAACAUCUUCUCUCUGCUUCUCGGGCAUCAUCAUCAGGUAAAUCAGUUUAUGUGUCUUCUUAAAAGUGCACCACAUGCAAUUGCGUGAUUGGCAAAGGAGGGCUAGGCGUGAUUAAUUAAGCUAGAGAAGACAAGGUUUUUCCAUUAAUUGUUAGUGAGGCUUGCUCAAAUGCGAGCGUACAAGAGUUUUCAGUAGCUUUAUUUCUGCUGCUUAGGUUAUACCGGAUUUGUUUUGUAAGUUAGAAAAAUACAACUUAUUGGAUAUUGUUAUAAGCAUCUAAUUAAUGAUAUGAAUGAAAAAGAAAAAAGAUCGUACACUUAACAUUUUUCUGCUAUUAUUUCAUACUUAUUUUAUAUUUUUGUAUUACAUAUACUGUACAUAGCUUAAAAAUGAGAAAAUAUAUGAACUUUUGCAGGUACUACUUCAACAAAACUUUCUAUAGCAGCUCAGGUAGUGAACUUAAGAUCACAGAUGAACAUGGAGACAACGUUGGGUAAUGCCAUUGGAAACCUGAUGUGGUGGGCUCCGGCCAUACUAGAGUUAAAUCAUAAAGCACGAGAGAGCAGCGAUCCUAAGCUGUGUGACUUGGUUAUCUUGCUCAAUGAAUCUGUCAAACAAUCUAACAGUGAUUACUUCGACACUUUCAAGGGUAAAGAGGGAUAUGGAAGAAUGUGUGAGCAUCUAGAUAUGGAGGGGACUGUAAGUUCUGUAGAACCAGCACCAGAGAUAUAUUCAUUCUCGAGCUGGACUAGAUUUUUCGACCAAAUUGAUUUUGGAUGCAUGGGGGAGGUCAUCUUGGAUUGGAGUUACCGGAAAACAAUCUGCAUAUUGGAAUUCCACAGUUUUAGUACCAACACAAUGUGAUACUGGAAUUGAAGCGUGGGUGAAUCUAGAUGAAGAGAAAAUGGCUAUGCUAGAACAAGAUCCCCAGUUUCUAGCAUUAGCAUCUCCAAAGACCCUAAUUUCAAGGUAUUGAUUAUGAAAGAUUAUGUGGCUCGUGCAAUGUUUCCAUUUGCAGUGAAUAAGGAUUAAAUUAGUUCCCCGGCCAAUUAAUAAGAAGCAAGGUAUGAUAGACUAUGGCUACGUAUGUUAGUAUGUUAUCCGAAUGUGCUUCGUUAUGCUUUUAACCAAUAUAGCUCUGUUUUGUAACAAUGCUCUAUUGAGCUUCUAACUAUAGAGUUAUUUUUCUUGAUUAGAAAAAGAAACUAUGCAAGUUUUGUUUUGUUAAGCUAUUCUGUUUCUAAAAGAAAGGCUAUUCUGUUUCUAAAACGGGAUGCAUGUAUUACCUAAAAAGAUGAUUCACCUAUAAUUAUUUUUCAAGUAAAUGAUUAUUUGAUAGCAAUCACGCCGUGUAUUUCUAUAGCUAAAAUUGUAAUUUAGAUCAGUGACAACAUGAUUAAAAGUUACAUAUUCUGAUACAUUUGUUAUUUAACGACAAGUGUGGCCAUAAUGCCUCACCUAGUCACCUAAUGCGAAGACCUCUACGAGAGACUAAUGUCGUCUGAUCUUCUUUUCUUAAUCAAAAGAAACGAAAAUGGCCACAAUGCCUCACUAUUCAUAGAACCAUACAAUAAUUUGGAACAUAUGCAUGGAUGCAAAGAAAAAUAACACAAGAACCAUCAUAAUUUCACAUUAUAUGAGAAACUUAGCCAAAUCCGAAUCACAUCCAUGUUGGCCAAGAGUGACUAAAGAAGACCACCCAGAAAGCUAGAAAACCAUAAAAUCCAGAAAACUUGAAUAAGCUAGGGAAAAAACAAAAAUGUGACAUUCCAUUUCUUCUUGCGGUUUUGUUAGGCCAAAUCAAAAUCUCAAUGACCCUGCAAUCAUUUACACACACUCUUUCUCAAUCUCUGCAAAACUGACUGCUUCCCCUGAAAACUUGCGCAAUAGGGUACCUAGCUCUCUGGCCUUUUCUUUCUAAUGCACAAUUUAUGGCUUUUGGUAAUGAUGAUUUUAUGCUUGUGGAUCUCAGAUGGGUUUGUUUUGUUUUGGGAUUUUUAUAAAUGAAUGCAUUGAAAAUGUUGAAAGCUUAUGCCUUUGUUCCUUGGUUCAGUGUUCUGGUUUUGUGUACGUACGAGAGUUGAAAUGUGAUCUCUAGUAUCGGUAAAGAGAAAUGUUCUAACCAUGCUAGUGUUAGUAAUUUAUCUUCUAAAGUUGUUUGAGUACUUUACUCUCUUACUUUACUAACUAAGCAUAGGAAAUAACGACCUAAACUACCUGAUUUUCGUUAGUGCUUGUAAACACGAAAAUUCCUGUAACGAAUAACAGAAAGACAUGUGUACAAAAUAAUAUAUUUGUAUUGAUUGAAUUUGCGGGUUACAAUCUCUAUGGGUAUUCUUUUAACAAGAAUGUCCUCUGAUUCGAUCUCCGAUGUUGAUUUGAUCCAAGGGUGACAAGCACUUGAUCUUGAAUUGAACUGUUGUAGUUUGAACUUCUUAUUGUGUUGACGAUUUGUAGAAGGAAGUUGACCAAGGGCCAUAGAGGCUUGAUCUUGGUCGAAUAUGGGCCGCGAGAGGUGUCACGUGGUGAACGUUCUUCGACUUGAUAGCGGAUGAAUCGGCACGUGUGUUUGGUACUUGUUGAUUCUCCACGAGGUUGUUGAAGAACUUGGUAGAAGUUUUGAUUUGUUGAAAGACUUGAAGACGAGGGUUGAUCAAGGGCCGUAGAGGCUUGACGUUGAUCGAGUUUGGGCCGAGCAGUUCCACAUGGUGGUUGCUCUUCGUCUUGUAGUUGGUGAAGAUGUCAGCUAUUUGGCAACUUGGGACUCUUCGGGAUUUGACAACCUAUAGGCUUGAGGUUGAUGAAGAAUCAACUAUUUGGCAGCUUGAUGAUUCUUCAAGGGUUUUGGGAGAAUUCUAAACUCUCGGGAGUAAUUUUUCUCUCUUGUCUGAAAGUCGUCCUCUUGAUAUGAGAGGGGGUAUUUAUAGUGUUAAUGCUCCUCCGUAAAUGGAAUGCAUUGAAGUCACAGCUUUAAUUAUAUUUCCUUAAUGAUAUAAUUAAAUCAAUCACUUUUGAUUGAUUGAUUCAAUUAUUCAAUUUCCCAUAAUUAAAUCAAUCAGUCUUAAUUGAUCGAUUUAGUUAUGAUCGAUAAGGUAUUUCACUAAUUUGAUUAAAUUCCGACUUCCUUUUCGAUAAUUGAUUUGAUUUGAUUGAUGUUUGAUUAUCGAUUGACAUUUAAUAUUUUAUUUUAGUUGGGAUUGAUGAUUUUGUUGUCGACCGACCAUUCACACGCCGCCACGUGUUAUUUUCGAAGACUUUUCAACUUUGCUGACUCACGAGCCACGUAUGCACGAGACUUUUCAACGUCUCUAAUUUACAUAGUAAUUGACGCAAUUUGGCCGAACUGUUUCUAAACACACUAAGCUUCAGUUCUAUAUAUACCGCGUACCACAUGUUUCAUCAAGUGUCAGAUAAUACAGAACCUACUUCGCCAAAAUGGAGAAAAUUGAGGUCAGUAUAAUUUCCAAACACACCAUCAAACCAUCAACUUCCUCUUCACCACUUCAGCCUUACAAGCUUACCCUGCUCGACCAGCUCACUCCUCCAUCGUAUGUCCCCAUGGUAUUCUUCUACCCCAUUACUGGCCCUGCAGUCUUCAAUCUUCAAACCCUAGCUGACUUAAGACAUGCCCUUUCCGAGACUCUCACUUUGUACUAUCCACUCUCUGGAAGGGUCAAAAACAACCUAUACAUCGAUGAUUUUGAAGAGGGUGUCCCAUACCUUGAGGCUCGAGUGAACUGUGACAUGAAUGAUUUUCUAAGGCUUCCGAAAAUCGAGUGCCUAAAUGAGUUUGUUCCAAUAAAACCAUUUAGUAUGGAAGCAAUAUCUGAUGAGCGUUACCCUUUGCUCGGAGUUCAAGUUAACAUUUUCAACUCCGGAAUAGCAAUCGGGGUCUCCGUCUCUCACAAGCUCAUCGAUGGAAGAACUUCAGACUGUUUUCUCAAGUCGUGGUGUGCUGUUUUUCGUGGUUCUCGUGACAAAAUCAUACAUCCUAAUCUCUCUCAAGCAGCAUUGCUUUUCCCACCAAGAGAUGACUUGCCUGAAAAGUAUGCCCGUCAGAUGGAAGGGUUAUGGUUUGUCGGAAAAAAAGUUGCUACAAGGAGAUUUGUAUUUGGUGCGAAAGCCAUAUCUGUAAUUCAAGAUGAAGCAAAGAGCGAGUCCGUGCCCAAGCCAUCACGAGUUCAGGCUGUCACUAGUUUUCUCUGGAAACAUCUAAUCGCUACUUCUCGAGCACUAACAUCAGGUAUGUAAAAUCAGUUUAGCAACAAGCCAAAUACUAAAGCAACUAAAUAAAAACCUAUUGUAUUUGGGGUAGUCCCUUAUUAGCUGUUGUCCUAAACUUCUAACGAUAUGAACUUUUUUCUCAAAAGAAAAAAAUAGUACACUUAACAUUUUCUGUUAUAAUUUCAUACUUAUUUAUAUAUUUUUAUUACAUACAUAGCUCAAAGAAUGAGAAAAUAUAUGAACCUGCAGGUACUACUUCAACAAGACUUUCUAUAGCAACCCAGGUAGUGAACAUAAGAUCACGGAGGAACAUGGAGACAGUGUGGGAUAAUGCCAUUGGAAACUUGAUAUGGUUCGCUCCGGCCAUACUAGAGCUAAGUCAUACAACACUAGAGAUCAGUGAUCUUAAGCUGUGUGACUUGGUUAACUUGCUCAAUGGAUCUGUCAAACAAUGUAACGGUGAUUACUUUGAGACUUUCAUGGGUAAAGAGGGAUAUGGAAGCAUGUGCGAGUAUCUAGAUUUUCAGAGGACUAUGAGUUCUAUGGAACCAGCACCAGAGAUUUAUUUAUUCACGAGCUGGACUAAUUUUUUCAACCAACUUGAUUUUGGAUGGGGGAGGACAUCAUGGAUUGGAGUUGCAGGAAAAAUUGAAUCUGCAUUUUGCAAUCUCAUAACAUUAGUUCCAACACCAUGCGAUACUGGAAUUGAAGCGUGGGUGAAUCUAGAAGAAGAAAAAAUGGCUAUGCUAGAACAAGAUCCCCAGUUUCUAGCACUAGCAUCUCCAAAGACGCUAAUUUCAAGAUAUUGAUUAAGGAAGAUUAUGCGGCUCGUGCAAUGUUUCCAUUUUGUUGUGAUUAAGGCUUAAAUUAGUUCACCAGCCAAUCAAUAAGAUGCAAGUAUGAUAGACUCGGUCUACGUAUGUUAUCCGAAUGUGUUUCCACAUGCUUGUAACCAAUAUAGCUCUUGUUUGUAACAAUGCUCUAUUAAGCUCUUCUAUCCAUAAAGUUAUUUCUCUAUUAAAAAGAAAACUAUACAAGUUUUGUUAAGUUUUUAAGGUAAGAUGCAUGUAGUACCCAAAAAGAUGGUUGACCUGUCAUUAUUUUCAAGUACAUGAUUAUCCGAUACAAUUACAUCAAAUAUUUCUAUAGCUAAAAAGUAUGUAAUUUUGAUCCGUGACAACAUGAUUAAAAAGUUAUAUAUUAUGAUGCAUUUAUCCUCUAACGACAAGCAUGGUCAUAAUGUCUCACCUCAUCACCUCACCAAGCGCGGAUCCAGUUCACAAGUGGGUAAGGCUCAAGCCCAACCAAGAAAAUUGGGGGAAAAAAAAACCUAAGUAUAGAUAUAUAUUUUUUUGGGUGAUAUAUCAUAUAUGCCCAGCCAUCAAGUGACCAAGCCCAACCCACCUAACUCAACCCAUCCCACUAACUACCCAAGUCCACAAUCAUCACUCAUCACUCAUCCACCCAACCUCCUUCAUCGAAGGAGUCCUUUAACUAAUCAGCUUAAACACCAAGUCUAAAAGUCUUCCCUGCUCUUCCCCUCCGCCUCCACUCAGUCACUCACCUAUGACCUAUCCCGGCUAUCCGGCUAUCCCUCUUCCCCUCCAGUCCUCCACGGCUCCACCAUAAUCUCCUUCUUCCCGGCCUCCUCCGGUCCUCCGAUUCCUCCCGGAUAGCGACGACUCGCCUCCGGCGGUCCGGACCUCCGCGGCUCCGCCUCCAGUCCUCCACUCACCUAUCCCUCUUCCAGCUGCUAGAAAGCUUGUUCGAGACUUGGUCCUCCACAGACAACCCAUUAGUCCAUUACCCAUCUUUCUUCACUCUCAGCCAGCAUGGUUGUACUAGAAAUUUUUUUUUGGCCUUCGGCCAAAGUUCAAGCCCACCCCAUCUUUAAAUCAUGGAUCCGCCACUGCACCUCACCAUAGUGUCCUAUCCUCUUAGGAGAAGGUAGGCACCUAAUGCAAAGGCCUUUAUGAGAGACUAAUAUCGUCUGAUCUUCUUUUCUUAAUCAAAAGAAAUGAAAAUGGCCACAAUGCCUCACUAUUCAUAGAGCCAUACAAUACUCUGGAACAUAUGCAUGGAGACAAAGAAAAAUAACACAAGAACCAUUAUAAUUUCACUUUAUACGGGAAACUUAGCUAAAUCCGAAUCAUGGGCGGAGCCAACCCAGGUGAAAUUUUGAAGCCCAAAAAAUUACCUGAAACAUCGUCGUUUGGGUGUAGGUUAUUUCUCCGUUUACUUCUUCUCAAUCUUAGUCAUAACUCACACCAUUGCGUCCGUAGCCCGUCGUUGUCGCUAGAGCGGUCGCCAUUUCCCAUAGCCCGCGCCGUCGCCCGUAGACCACAUCCCGAGUCAGUCAGUCCCCACUUGGCUACUUCCCCAGGUAUGGCUCAAUCGGAUUGCUUAUAUUCUGAUCGUGGACAUAGCAGGCUUCAAUUCAAAAGCCAUCAUAUUCAUAUGCUUCAAUGUUGCUUUACUUCGUCUAUAACUAGAGUUUCAGCUUUGCUUCGUCUUCAAUGUUGAUAUGUUGAUAUAAAAUAUUAACUUGAUUAGGAUUUGUUGAUAUAGAAUAUUACCUUGAUUAGGAUUUGUUGUUAUGUAAUAUGUAUUAGGAUAUUUAUUACUCAUAUUAGGAUUUGUUAUAUGAUCUUACAUCCUUACGAAUGAAUAUACAUCAACACAAUCGAAAUCUGCAUGGUCAUAUUAGCCUUAACUAGUUCAGUCCAAUUCAUAUUAGUCUUAAACUAGUUCAGUCUAAUUCCUCAUGGGUAUAUGCUGAACUUUAAGAUGUUGAUCUUCUAUAAUAACUGAGUUCGAUACCAGAAAUCUUUGAUGAUUGUCCACAUAUGUUAUCUUAUAAUCCUAUAUUAAUUUGUACUAAUCUCAUAGUCUUAAUUUGAAAGCUCCUUAUACGUCUUAACUUGGAUAUGGAUGUGGAUUUGAUCUUAUUAUAUGUAAUAUUAAAGUGAAGUUGUUGUAUUACACAGAAUGUUUGAUGAAUAAAUAACAAAUUGAUCGCGUCAAAAGGCUAGAUCAAAAAAUUUCUUGCACCAUCGAACAAAUUUUCUUGUGUAUACAAUUUCAUGGUUCCGCCACAUUGGCAACAAAGAGUGAUUGGAAAAGAAGAACACCCAGAAAGAUAAAAACCAUAAAACUUGUUUAAGCGAAAAAAACAAAAGUAUGCCAUUCAUUUCUUCUUGCGGUUUUGUUAGGCCAAAAAUCAAAAUCCCAUGAUACCCAAUCAGUUACACACUCUCCCUCUCAAUCUCUACAGAACUGACUGCUUCCCCUGAAAACUUGCGCAAUAAGGUACCCAUCUCUCUGGCCUUUUCUUUGUAAUGCAUAUAAGUUCCUGUAAAUUUUAAAGCUUUUGGAAUGAUGAUUUUAUGCUUGUGGAUCUCAAGAUGAGUUUGUUUGUUUUUUUCGGGAUUUUUAUAAUGAAUGCAUUGAAAAUGUUGAAAGCUUAUGCCUUUGUUCCUUGGUUCAGUGUUUUGGUUUUGUAUACGAGAGUUGAAAUGUGAUCUCUAGCUUGACUGUUGGUAUUGGUAAAGAGAAAUGUUCUAGAAAACCAUGCUAGUAUUAGUAAGUUAUCUUCUAAAGUUGUUCGAGUACUGUACUAAGCAUAGGAAAUAACGACCUAAGCUACCUUAUUUUCGUUAGUGCUAGCUGCUAUGAGAAACUUACCCAAUUCGUUGUUAAAAAUAGGGAAAAUACCCAAAUACUCAAAAAUUAGAAAGCUAAAACCCAUUCCAAUGAAAUUAUAAUCCUUUAGCUCAUUCCUAUGUUACACCGAUACUCCACCCCACGGACACUCCAACACUCCCGACACACCGAUAUCGAUACGAUACACCAAAAUGUGUGUCCGACACGCCACGUGGCGUGUCAAAAAAAGUUGACUUUUUAGACACGUUACGUCAGCCUGAGACACGCCAAGUCAGUGUGUAUUGAUUGAAAAAAAAAAAUACAGAACUAAAAGUCUAAAACCUAAUCGAAGAGGAAGCCCACUUUAAAGAAGCCGCAUAGAAGAGGAACGAUGUCACCGUUCACUAUCACUGCGAGAACGACGUCGUCUGUCCAUGUCAGUGUGAUUGUUCCUCCGAUGACACCACUCUGCGAGAACGACGAGAACAGCGUCGCCUUUCUCUGUUACAGCGACUCGUCCUCCGUCGGCCUAAACCCUCUCUUUAGUGUAAGGUUAAUCUUAAUCUCAGCUUUGACGUGUUUGGUGAUUGCAGUCUCAUUUGCAGUAACAGAAAAGCAUAUAAGAUUUUAAUCAUUUUAUGAUCAUUCUGAUACCACUUAUAGAUUUUUAAGGCAAUGUGCUAUUGAAGCAUCUGCACUGUGAUGUUAAGUGUCAUGAUAUUGCUCAAUUGCUGAUAGGGUAGGAUGGAGCUAGACAUUUGAGACUUUGCAAAAUUGAGUUUAUACCUACUAGUAUUAGAUCAUCAAUUAGUUGAGAGUUUGUAGGAGGUCAGGUUUUAUACUUGGUGAGAAACAUCGGCUCAUCUGUAUUUGUAAGGAAGAUUUAAUUGAAAGGAGUUGUGUAUGGAUUGCUUAUUUGUUUAUCUUUGCUCUGUUAAUUGUUAAUAUGUUAUGAUAUGCUGCUGUGUCUAUGCUGAUGUGCUUAUGCUACUGUGUGUCUAUGCUACUGUGUCUAUGCUAUUGUCUUAUGUUGUUUUGUUGGAUUAUUAUGAUUAGGAUGAGUUCAAGUGCGACAUCUACUGAACCUAGUGUUGAAUCAACUAAGCCUGAAAAAUUAGAUGCUCCUCUAUCAAGGAUAAAGGAUGAUGCCAAUGCAUGCGUGCCUUGCUCUUAUGUAUUUUGAAUAUCUCAGUUAUGGGGUUUUAGGCAGUUGGUGUUAUUAUAGGGUUAGGAAAGUCGGAUUUUCAUUCAGUUUGAUGAAUGUGUUGAAUUAGAUAAAACUAUUUAGUAAUCAUCCUUUAGAUUAAAUAUUGACUCUCUUUUAUGUUAUUUGUUACAGUUAUGCAAUUGCUUAAAUUUAGAGCAUUAUUUAAGCAAUGUGAUAAAUUUAUUCAUAUUUGAGCAUUUUUUUAUUAAUUAGAAAUAUACAAAUAAGUAAUUAUAUUUGCCGUGUCUAAGCCGUGUCGAAAAUGUAGUCUUUGAGUUUUGCCGUGUCGCCGUGUCAGUACGUAUCGUGUCGCCGUAUCCGUGUCCGUGUCCAUGUAACAUAGGCUCAUUCCAAUGAUUCUUAUGCAAAAGACAUUAUUANNNNNNNNNNNNNNNNNNNNCUCUCUCUCUCUCUCUCUCUCUCUCUCUCUCUCCUCUCUCUCUCUCUCUCUCUCUCUCUCUCUCUCUCUCUCUCUCUCUCUCGGUGUACGACGAUGCAAGGUUGAAGACGCAGCCUCCUACUGAGUCGACGAGACCGCGCUCGUGGUCGUGAUUCUCCUCAACAGCGACAUCGAUUUUGGCGGCACCUCUCGGAGAUGAUCCUCAUCUGCCAGAACCUCUGCAACAAUCUCUAGAGCCCUAACGAGCACAUCCGGGGCGUCACGCUCCAGUUCCUCUACUGGUUGAGCAAGUUGGAGAUUGUCCGGCCGUUGAUUUCAUCGAUUUUGGCCAAUCUAGUCAGAGAUUGAGGUCUGUGUUUAGUGCAAACAUGGAUAACGUUCUUCUUCUCCUUUUUUUAUCGGAGAUCGUGUUUUUGUUUUUGUUUUGGUCAGAGAGAUUGUGGUUUUUUCCCCUUUUUUUUUCAAUAUAAUGGUUAUUAAAUGAUAGUAUCUUGAUUAUUGGAGUAAUUAGUCUAUUAUUGGGAGGUAAGAAGUAUCUAGUGGAGGUCAAUAAACAUUUAUUGACCCCAAUAUUGCUUUUAUAAAUUUUUUUUGAGAUGUAGGGAUUUGCCUUAGAGGUAAAAACUUCCUUUUUAACUCGAUUACUAGGAAUCAUUAACUGAUUAUUGAGGUUAAGUAACUGAUUAUUGAGGGUCAGUAAGUGAUUAUUGGGGUUCAGUAACUGAUUAUUGGGGGUUAAUAACUGAUUAUUGGGGGUCAUUUUGAGAGUCAGUAACCGAGUUAUUGGUGAUCAGAAUCCAGCAACCGGAAAAAAUCUGAGUUACUGGGGGUCAGUAACUAAGUUACCGGUUAUCGGAAUCAGGCGACCGGAGAAAAUAUGAGUUACUAGGAGUCAAUAACGGCGACCGAAGAAAUUUCUGGCAACCGGGGACCGGAAUCCGGCGACCGGCAACCAGAGUCCGGCGGCGGGUGACCGGAGUCCGGUGAGAUUCCGGCCAAGUAUUCUCUCUCUUCCACUUUCUCUCUCUAUACAUGUUGAAGUGGUGAGAGUAAAAUUGUCUUAAAAAUAUAUAAAAAUUAUUUUUUAUUAUAACAUUAGUAAAGAUUUGUGCAUAAAAAAUGUUACCUUAUAUUGGAAUGAGCUCAUGAAAAAGAUUAACAUUAAAAUGGGGAAUAAGAGGUUUAAAUUAGUAUUAAAUUGACAUUUUCCCUUUAAAAUAAUAACAGAACCAUCAAUGCCGUGAUAGUCCCUUAAUAUUUGGUGGCUAAUUAGUAAUGCAUUCAUGGUAGUUGUGCUUAUUUUGUGCAUGUAUUCUAAUUCUAUCACUUGCAAAAUCGUUGUGGAAGGUUAAGAGGAGAAAACAGAAAAUGGGGCAGCAUGCAUCUCAUUUUAUUUCCGAUCAUAUUUUCAUAUCAUAGACGUUCACUAUUUAGAUAUACAUGAGUUGAUCAUCUCUACAAAAUUUCAACUAAUUUAGUUAUCAUUAAGGUAUCGAAAAUGUAUUAAAUCAAUGAACGAACCGAAUCUGUUCAUCCUGAACUGUACGUUCUAUUAGUUCUAAAUCACAGUUUUGAAUGUCUUAAUGAUUAUCAACUUGGCUGAAAAUUUAUAUAGAUGAUCUACUGAUAUAUAUACCUAAAAUAUGAACGGUUGAGAUGAGAAAAUAUGAUCGAAAGUGGGACAAAUAAUGAAAUCCGUACCUUAGAUAAGGUAAGGAGGUCCUUACCUGAUCAAGAUUGUGUGUGUGUGUCUAUAGAGUUUAGGGUUUAGAGUUUUAGGGUGUCAUGAAGAUAUCAUACAUCCUAAUCUCUCUGAAGCAGCAUUGCUUUUCCCACCGAGAGAUGACUUGCCUGAAAAGUAUGCCGGUCAGAUGGAAGGGUUAUGGUUUGCCGGAAAGAAUGUUGCUACAAGGAGAUUUGUAUUUGGUGCGAAAGCCAUAUCUUCAAUUCAAGAUGAAGCGAAGAGCGAGUCUGUGCCCAAGCCAUCACAAGUUCAGGCCGUCACUGGUUUUCUCUGGAAACAUCUAAUUGCUGCUUCUCGGGCACUAACAUCAGGUAAAAUCAGUUUAUCAACAAGCGUAAUGUAUUUGGGGUAGUCCCUUAUUAAUUAGCUGUUGUCCUAAACUUCUAACGAUAUGAACUUCUUUUUCAAAAGAAAAAAAAUAGUACACACUUAACAUUUUUUCUGUUAUAAUUUCACAUUAUUUAUAUAUUUUUAUUACGUAUAGUGUACUGUGUACAUAGCUCAAAGAAAGAUAAUAUAUAUGAACUUGCAGGUACUAACUACUUCAACAAAACUUUCUAUAGCAGCCCAGGCAGUGAACAUAAGAUCACGGAUGAACAUGGAGACAGUGUUGGAUAAUGCCAUUGGGAUCUUGAUAUGGUCGGCUCCGGCCAUACUAGAGCUAAAGUCAUACAACACCAGAGAUCAAUGAUCUUACGCUGUGUCACUUGGUUAACUUGCUCAAUGGAUCUAUCAAACAAUGUAACGGUGAUUACUUUGAGACUUUCAAGGGUAAAGAGGGAUAUGGAAGCACGUGCGAGUAUCUCGAUUUUCAGAGGACUUUGAGUUCUAUGGAACCAGCACCAGAGAUUUAUUCAUUCACGAGCUGGACUAAUUUUUUCAACCAACUUGAUUUUGGAUGGGGGAGGACAUCUUGGAUUGGAGUUGCAGGAAAAACUGAAUCUGCAUAUUGCAAUUUCACAGUGUUGGUUCCAACACAAUGCGAUACUGGAAUUGAAGCGUGGGUGAAUCUAGAAGAAGAGAAAAU